GUCUUUUUUUUUUAAACUAAAAUGGAGGCUGGUUUCUUGCCUUAAGGAGCCCAUUGCCUUUCCCGCUGAAGUCUAGAUGUUGACAUGUAAUAAAGCGGGCAGCAGGAUGGUGGUGGAUGCGGCCAACUCCAAUGGGCCUUUCCAGCCCGUGGCCCUUCUCCAUAUUCGAGAUGUUCCUCCUGCUGAUCAAGAGAAGCUUUUUAUCCAGAAGUUACGUCAGUGUUGCGUCCUCUUUGACUUUGUUUCUGAUCCACUAAGUGACCUAAAGUGGAAGGAAGUAAAACGAGCUGCUUUAAGUGAAAUGGUAGAAUAUAUCACCCAUAAUCGGAAUGUGAUCACAGAGCCUAUUUACCCAGAAGUAGUCCAUAUGUUUGCAGUUAACAUGUUUCGAACAUUACCACCUUCCUCCAAUCCUACGGGAGCGGAAUUUGACCCGGAGGAAGAUGAACCAACGUUAGAAGCAGCCUGGCCUCAUCUACAGGUAUCGGGCUCUGGGUGACCAGACUCGGAGGGCACCGGUGACACAUGGGAAUGGCCUGGGAUCCACAGAGCGGGCGCACUGGUCUGGCCAGAUGGACCUCUCCUCCUCAGUAGCAUGGGCCUCGCAAACCCAUGUGUACAAGAAAAAUAUUUCAGCAGAAUAAAGUUAAUGUGUGUGUUUGACCACUUUACAACAGCCAGUGAAGAUGUGUAAUUGUGAGUAUGUUCUCAGUGAAAAUGGCCGCUGUGUUGAUGGCCGUUGAAUUCAAGCCCAGAGGUCCUAAGCCAACAAUCUCCCAGUUUUUGCUCCUCAUAUUUAAUAUGUGCCUGCUGGGCCCCCAGGUCCUGCGCUGGCCACUGCCUUUCCCCAGGACAUUUGUAAGGCAGAAGGUUGGUUGGCAAGGAGGCGCCAGGGUCGGCAUGAGCAGAGCAGGAGCCAGGUGUGCGGGUGGGAGGGCCAUCCAUCCGUGACAGGCGGCCCACGCUGUCCCACCCAGCAUGUCUGCACAGGGAAAGAAUUGUCCCAGCUCCAGGAGGUCAUGGUUCAGGGUCCACAUCUUAGGGCCCUCUUACCUGGCAGCCCCAGAGUUCCUGGCAUUUGGUUGGCUCUGCGCCUUGGCAUUGUGGGACACUCCUAGGCGGCAGGCUGCAAAUCCCCCCUGCAGAGUUGGGUCAUGGCUUGGUUUGUGGCAUCUGUGCCCUGUAGUCCCUGAACAGUGUACUAUAACUGAUGACAUCAGC
RNAcentral lists this small RNA (1221 nucleotides) under Pan troglodytes (chimpanzee). Its description in RNAcentral is "retained intron". Lineage: Eukaryota; Metazoa; Chordata; Mammalia; Primates; Hominidae. The record is from RNAcentral.